Molecule: transfer RNA, 73 nt
Filed under: Haemaphysalis longicornis (longhorned tick)
Lineage: Eukaryota; Metazoa; Arthropoda; Arachnida; Ixodida; Ixodidae
Rfam family: tRNA
About the family: Transfer RNA (tRNA) molecules are approximately 80 nucleotides in length. Their secondary structure includes four short double-helical elements and three loops (D, anti-codon, and T loops).
Source: Rfam by way of RNAcentral
CCGCCGGUAGCGUAGUGGUUAUCGCACCAGAUCAAUAUUCUGGAGGUCGUGGGUUCGGAUCCCACCCGGCGGG